This is a long non-coding RNA of Carassius gibelio (silver crucian carp), 1012 nucleotides long. RefSeq lists it as uncharacterized. NCBI's taxonomy places the organism in Eukaryota, Metazoa, Chordata, Actinopteri, Cypriniformes, Cyprinidae. The transcript is spliced from 3 exons. The record is from RefSeq and is a predicted model, not a curated record.
GUUGGGGUACCUGAAAGAAAUAGCAGAGUUCCUGGACAUACCUGCCACAAAUCCCCAGCGAUUUGUCUCCCAUCGUUGGUUGUCAGCUUAUGAGGACCUGUACAGAGACCAUGGUGUGAGUGAAAAGGCUCAAUGAAGGGUUGAAUUUAUUCACCAGGAUCUCUGCCAGAAGGAUAAUCAUGGAUUUUAUUGGGAAGGUGACCAAGGCAUACACAGCUUGUGGCAAGUACAUGCAGAACAAGCAUGUACUUUAACAUGUACUGUAACCUCUCAAAAGUAAGACCCUACAGGCCUUGUCCUCUAUUGAUCCUGUGGUGAGGGGCCAAUCCCAGGCUGUUACUCAGAUGAAGGAGUUGGCUAGGAUCAUUAAACCUUAAGUGCCCCUAGAGAGUGACAUCACCCAGGAGAUCAUUAGGUACAAUGUGGACCCCAACCUGGCCAAGUAUGAAGAUGGAGAUGACAUUGUGAAGUGGUGGACCCAUGUCAUGAGUUUGGGGAAGUAUCCAGCUCUCAGCCAGGUUAUCAGAGGGGCCCUUUCCAUCUUCCAUGGACCACUGGUAGAGUCCUCCUUUAGUCUCAUGGGAGAUGUGAUUGAUGCUAAAAUAUCUAGCAUGAAGAUCUCCACCUUUGAUGCAGUGCAGACUGUCAAAUAUGUGCUGAGGUCAAGGGGCAAGACUGGCAUUGGCAUGUUCAAAAGAGAUGACAUCAAACUGGGGCCAGUUGAUAAAACUCUCUGCCAGAACAUUAGGGUUGCAGGGAGAAGGGACAAGACCGACAGAGAGAAGAGGAUGGAGGCAAAGCAGAAGAGGCAGGUGGAGUAUGGCUGCAGUGCUACAUGUGAAAGUGCAGAGAAGGCCAAGACCACUGCUCUGGCCGAAGAGAGGCAGACACGUCUCAAACAUGUUGAUAAGAAAAUUAAUGCAGCCGCAAGGCCCUGGAUACGUUGCAGGAGGUGGCCAGGAAGAAGAGGAAGUUGGAGUAAAGCAAGGAGAUAGUUCAAUGAGAGUUUAUG